GGACGAACGCUGGCGGCGUGCUUAACACAUGCAAGUCGAGCGGUAAGGCCCUUCGGGGUACACGAGCGGCGAACGGGUGAGUAACACGUGGGUGAUCUGCCUCGCACUCUGGGAUAAGCCUGGGAAACUGGGUCUAAUACCGGAUAUGAACAUGGUCUGCAUGGAUUGUGUUGGAAAGGUUUACUGGUGCGAGAUGGGCCCGCGGCCUAUCAGCUUGUUGGUGGGGUAAUGGCCUACCAAGGCGACGACGGGUAGCCGACCUGAGAGGGUGACCGGCCACACUGGGACUGAGACACGGCCCAGACUCCUACGGGAGGCAGCAGUGGGGAAUAUUGCACAAUGGGCGAAAGCCUGAUGCAGCGACGCCGCGUGAGGGAUGACGGCCUUCGGGUUGUAAACCUCUUUCGACAGGGACGAAGCGCAAGUGACGGUACCUGUAGAAGAAGCACCGGCCAACUACGU
RNAcentral lists this ribosomal RNA (462 nucleotides) under Nocardiaceae bacterium 'ARUP UnID 474'. RNAcentral describes it as "bacterial SSU rRNA". It matches the Rfam family "Bacterial small subunit ribosomal RNA", at positions 27 to 506 of the family's 1533-position model. Lineage: Bacteria; Bacillati; Actinomycetota; Actinomycetes; Mycobacteriales; Nocardiaceae. The record is from RNAcentral.